RNAcentral lists this ribosomal RNA (253 nucleotides) under uncultured bacterium. RNAcentral's name for it is "partial 16S ribosomal RNA". It matches the Rfam family "Bacterial small subunit ribosomal RNA", at positions 524 to 776 of the family's 1533-position model. The record is from RNAcentral.
UACGGGGGGGGCAAGCGUUGUUCGGAAUUACUGGGCGUAAAGGGCUCGUAGGCGGUCAACUAAGUCGGACGUGAAAUCCCUCGGCUUAACCGGGGAACUGCGUCCGAUACUGGAUGACUUGAGUUCGGGAGAGGGAUGCGGAAUUCCAGGUGUAGCGGUGAAAUGCGUAGAUAUCUGGAGGAACACCGGUGGCGAAGGCGGCAUCCUGGACCGACACUGACGCUGAGGAGCGAAAGCCAGGGGAGCAAACGGG